This 523-nucleotide ribosomal RNA is filed under the name uncultured bacterium. RNAcentral's name for it is "partial 16S ribosomal RNA". It matches the Rfam family "Bacterial small subunit ribosomal RNA", at positions 355 to 895 of the family's 1533-position model. The record is from RNAcentral.
UGGGGAAUAUUGGACAAUGGGGGCAACCCUGAUCCAGCAAUGCCGCGUGUGUGAAGAAGGUCUUCGGAUUGUAAAGCACUUUCGACGGGGACGAUGAUGACGGUACCCGUAGAAGAAGCCCCGGCUAACUUCGUGCCAGCAGCCGCGGUAAUACGAAGGGGGCUAGCGUUGCUCGGAAUGACUGGGCGUAAAGGGCGUGUAGGCGGUUUACACAGUCAGAUGUGAAAUCCCCGGGCUUAACCUGGGAGCUGCAUUUGAUACGUGUAGACUAGAGUGUGAGAGAGGGUUGUGGAAUUCCCAGUGUAGAGGUGAAAUUCGUAGAUAUUGGGAAGAACACCGGUGGCGAAGGCGGCAACCUGGCUCAUGACUGACGCUGAGGCGCGAAAGCGUGGGGAGCAAACAGGAUUAGAUACCCUGGUAGUCCACGCUGUAAACGAUGUGUGCUAGAUGUUGGGUAACUUUGUUAUUCAGUGUCGCAGUUAACGCGUUAAGCACACCGCCUGGGGAGUACGGCCGCAAGGUU